AGAAUCAACGCUGGCGGCGUGCCUCAGACAUGCAAGUCGAACGCGAAAGUCUCCUUCGGGGGACAAGUAGAGUGGCGCACGGGUGAGUAACACGUAGGUAAUCUACCUUUGGAUGGGGAAUAACAACCGGAAACGGUUGCUAAUACCGCAUAAUGCAGCGGCACCUAAUGGUGACAGUUGUUAAAGCGGGGGAUCGAAAGACCUCGCGUCUGAAGAGGAGCCUGCGGCGGAUUAGCUAGUUGGUAAGGUAAUGGCUCACCAAGGCUACGAUCC
Molecule: ribosomal RNA, 273 nt
Filed under: uncultured soil bacterium
Lineage: Bacteria
Description: partial 16S ribosomal RNA
Rfam family: Bacterial small subunit ribosomal RNA
Source: RNAcentral